UGUUUCAGAGGGAAUAGACGGCCCCGUCAAACGGGCCGCCCCCGCCAGAGGACCCUUAACUCUGUUUCUAUAAUGUUUCUUCUGAGUAAAACAAGCAAAUAAAUUAAAACUUUCAACAACGGAUCUCUUGGCUCUGGCAUCGAUGAAGAACGCAGCGAAAUGCGAUAAGUAAUGUGAAUUGCAGAAUUCAGUGAAUCAUCGAAUCUUUGAACGCACAUUGCGCCCGCCAGUAUUCUGGCGGGNAUGCCUGUUCGAGCGUCAUUACAACCCUCAGGCCCCCGGGCCCGGCGUUGGGGAUCGGCGGAGCCCCCCGUGGGCAUACGCCGUCCCUCAAAUACAGUGGCGGUCCCGCCGCAGCUUCCAUCGCGUAGUAGCUAACACCUCGCGACUGGAGAGCGGCGCGGCCACACCGNAAAACACCCAACUCUUCUGAAGUUGACCUCGAAUCAGGUAGGAAUACCCGCUGAACUUAAGCAUAUCAAUAAGCGGAGGAA
Molecule: ribosomal RNA, 494 nt
Filed under: Fusarium solani
Lineage: Eukaryota; Fungi; Ascomycota; Sordariomycetes; Hypocreales; Nectriaceae
Description: eukaryotic LSU rRNA
Rfam family: 5.8S ribosomal RNA (bases 108-261)
Source: RNAcentral